RNAcentral lists this ribosomal RNA (506 nucleotides) under uncultured bacterium. Its description in RNAcentral is "partial 16S ribosomal RNA". It matches the Rfam family "Bacterial small subunit ribosomal RNA", at positions 30 to 523 of the family's 1533-position model. The record is from RNAcentral.
AUUGAACGCUGGCGGCAGGCUUAACACAUGCAAGUCGAGCGGUAACAGAGAGAAGCUUGCUUCUCUGCUGACGAGCGGCGGACGGGUGAGUAAUGCCUAGGAAUCUGCCUAGUAGUGGGGGAUUACUUGCCGAAAGGUAAGCUAAUACCGCAUACGUCCUACGGGAGAAAGGAGGGGACCUUCGGGCCUUUCGAUAUUAGAUGAGCCUAGGUCGGAUUAGUUGGUUGGUGGGGUAAUGGCUCACCAAGACCGCGAUCCGUAACUGGUCUGAGAGGAUGAUCAGUCACACUGGAACUGAGACACGGUCCAGACUCCUACGGGAGGCAGCAGUGGGGAAUAUUGGACAAUGGGGGGAACCCUGAUCCAGCCAUGCCGCGUGUGUGAAGAAGGUCUUAGGAUUGUAAAGCACUUUAAGUUGGGAGGAAGAGCAGUUAACUAAUAUUUGACUGUUUUGACGUUACCGACAGAAUAAGCACCGGCUAACUUCGUGCCAGCCGCCGCAGUAA